UAGGGAAUAUUGCACAAUGGGCGAAAGCCUGAUGCAGCAACGCCGCGUGCGCGAUGAAGGCCUUCGGGUCGUAAAGCGCUUUUCGGGGGGAUGGGGAAGGACAGUACCCCCGGAAUAAGUCUCGGCUAACUACGUGCCAGCAGCCGCGGUAAAACGUAGGAGGCAAGCGUUAUCCGGAUUCACUGGGCGUAAAGCGCAUGUAGGCGGUCCGGUAAGUCGGACGUGAAAGCUCCUGGCUCAACUGGGAGAGGCCGUUCGAAACUACCGGACUUGAGGGCAGUAGAGGGAGGUGGAAUUCCGGGUGUAGCGGUGAAAUGCGUAGAUAUCCGGAGGAACACCAGUGGCGAAGGCGGCCUCCUGGACUGCCCCUGACGCUCAGAUGCGAAAGCUAGGGGAGCGAACGGGAUUAGAAACCCCGGUAGUCCUAGCUGUAAACGAUGCGGACUUGGUGUUGGUGGCUUAAACUCCAUCAGUGCCGAAGCUAACGCGUUAAGUCCGCCGCCUGGGGACUACGGCCGCAAGGCUA
Molecule: ribosomal RNA, 526 nt
Filed under: uncultured bacterium
Lineage: Bacteria
Description: bacterial SSU rRNA
Rfam family: Bacterial small subunit ribosomal RNA
Source: RNAcentral